GCCUGAGUAGCUGAGCGGUUUAGCAGGAGCCUCUAAAACUCUGGAACGUGGGUUCGAAUCCCACCUCAGGCA
RNAcentral lists this transfer RNA (72 nucleotides) under Salmonella phage Arash. It matches the Rfam family "tRNA". Rfam says of the family: Transfer RNA (tRNA) molecules are approximately 80 nucleotides in length. Lineage: Duplodnaviria; Heunggongvirae; Uroviricota; Caudoviricetes. The record is from Rfam by way of RNAcentral.